GGUUAAGCUAUUAAGGGCGCACGGAGGAUGCCUAGGCGCCAGGAGCCUAAGAAGGACGCGGCGAACAGCGAAAUUGCCUCGGGGAGCCGUAAGCAGGCUUUGAUCCGGGGAUGUCCGAAUGGGGAAACCCGGCUGGGGUCAUGCCCAGUCACCUAUGAGUGAAUCCAUAGCUCAUAAGGAGGCACACCCAGGGAACUGAAACAUCUAAGUACCUGGAGGAGAAGAAAACAAGAGUGAUUCCGUCAGUAGCGGCGAGCGAAAGCGGAUUAGCCCAAACCUGAGAGCUUGCUCUCAGGGGUUGUGGGACGUCUCACAUGGAGUUACAAAGGGAUAGGUUAGGCGAAGAGAUCUGGAAAGGUCCGGCAUAGAAGGUAAAAGCCCUGUAGCCGAAAGUCUAUCCCCUCCGAGACGGAUCCCGAGUACCGCGGGACACGAGAAACCCCGUGGGAAUCCGGCAGGACCAUCUGCCAAGGCUAAAUACUCCCUGGCGACCGAUAGUGAAGCAGUACCGUGAGGGAAAGGUGAAAAGCACCGCGGGAGCGGAGUGAAAAAGAACCUGAAACCGUGCGCUUACAAGAAGUCAGAGCCCGAUCUAGGGGUGAUGGCGUGCCUUUUGUAGAAUGAACCGGCGAGUUACGUUUACGUGCGAGGUUAAGUCGGAGAGACGGAGCCGCAGCGAAAGCGAGUCUGAAUAGGGCGCUUUAGUACGUAGUCGUAGACCCGAAACCGGGUGAUCUACCCCUGUGCAGGGUGAAGGUGAGGUAACACUUACUGGAGGCCCGAACUCGUGAGCGUUGAAAAGCUCUGGGAUGACGUGGGGGUAGGGGAGAAAUUCCAAUCGAACUCGGAGAUAGCUGGUUCUCCCCGAAAUAGCUUUAGGGCUAGCCUCGAGAUUUAGCAUCAUGGAGGUAGAGCACUGAUUGGGUGCGGGGCCCGCCAAGGGUUACCAAGUCCAGUCAAACUCCGAAUGCCAUGGAUGUAUGCUCGGGAGUCAGACGGCGAGUGCUAAGAUCCGUCGUCAAGAGGGAAAGAGCCCAGAUCAUCAGCUAAGGUCCCCAAGUGUGUGUUAAGUGGGAAAGGAUGUGGAGUUGCGAAGACAACCAGGAUGUUGGCUUAGAAGCAGCCACCAUUUAAAGAGUGCGUAAUAGCUCACUGGUCGAGUGACUCUGCGCCGAAAAUGUAACGGGGCUAAACACACCACCGAAGCUAUGGCAUGUCGUAGUCUUCACUUUGUUCUGGUGGAAGACCGGGACAUUUCGUCAAAAAAAACCCCAAAGGUGGUUUAGGGGUAUCAAAAAAAACGCCCCGAAAAAAAAAACCAAAAAAAGAAAAGAAAAAAAAGGGCACUUGGGUAGGGGAGCGUUGAAUGCGGGUUGAAGUCGGACCGAGAGGACCGGUGGACUGCAUUCAAGUGAGAAUGCCGGUAUGAGUAACGAAAAGACAGGUGAGAAUCCUGUCCGCCGAAAGCCUAAGGGUUCCUGAGGAAGGUUCGUCCGCUCAGGGUAAGUCGGGACCUAAGGCGAGGCCGAAAGGCGUAGUCGAAGGACAACAGGUUGAAAUUCCUGUACCACCGUAAUCCGUUACGAGCGAUGGGGGGGACGCAGGAGGGCAAGAACGCGAGCUGAUGGAAUAGCUCGUCCAAGCAGUGAGGGGUGUGUGUAGGCAAAUCCGCACACUAAUACCUUGAGCUGUGAUGGGGAGGGAAAAUUACAGUACCGAAGGUUCCGUGCUCACGCUGCCGAGAAAAGCCUCUAGCCAGGAGAAGGUGCCCGUACCGCAAACCGACACAGGUAGGCGAGAAGAGAAUUCUAAGGCGCGCGGAAGAACUCUCGUUAAGGAACUCGGCAAAAUGACCCCGUAACUUCGGGAGAAGGGGUGCCUCGGUAGGGUGAAUAGCCCGAGGGGGCCGCAGUGAAUAGGCCCAAGCGACUGUUUAGCAAAAACACAGGUCUGUGCGAAGCCGUAAGGCGAAGUAUACGGGCUGACGCCUGCCCGGUGCUGGAAGGUUAAGGGGAGCGGUUAGGGGCAACCCGAAGCUGUGAACCGAAGCCCCAGUAAACGGCGGCCGUAACUAUAACGGUCCUAAGGUAGCGAAAUUCCUUGUCAGGUAAAUUCUGACCCGCACGAAUGGCGUAACGACUUGGGCGCUGUCUCAACGAGAGAUCCGGUGAAAUUUUAGUACCUGUGAAGAUGCAGGUUACCCGCGACGUGACGGAAAGACCCCAUGGAGCUUUACUGUAGCUUGAUAUUGAACUUGGGUACGGUCUGUACAGGAUAGGUGGGAGCCUAGGAAGCCUGAGCGCAAGCUUAGGUGGAGGCGCCGUUGGGAUACCGCCCUGAUCGUAUCUAGGUUCUAACCUGUCACCGUGAAUCCGGUGAAGGGACCGUGUCAGGCGGACAGUUUACUGGGGCGGUCGCCUCCUAAAGCGUAGCGGAGGCGCCCAAGGUUCCCUCAGAAUGGUUGGAAAUCAUUCGAAGAGUGCAAAGGCAUAAGGGAGCUUGACUGCGAGACCUACAAGU
Molecule: ribosomal RNA, 2520 nt
Filed under: Cohnella ginsengisoli
Lineage: Bacteria; Bacillati; Bacillota; Bacilli; Caryophanales; Paenibacillaceae
Description: partial 23S ribosomal RNA
Rfam family: Bacterial large subunit ribosomal RNA
Source: RNAcentral